UGGGGAAUAUUGGACAAUGGGCGAAAGCCUGAUCCAGCCAUGCCGCGUGUGUGAAGAAGGUCUUCGGAUUGUAAAGCACUUUAAGUUGGGAGGAAGGGCAUUAACCUAAUACGUUAGUGUUUUGACGUUACCGACAGAAUAAGCACCGGCUAACUCUGUGCCAGCAGCCGCGGUAAUACAGAGGGUGCAAGCGUUAAUCGGAAUUACUGGGCGUAAAGCGCGCGUAGGUGGUUUGUUAAGUUGGAUGUGAAAUCCCCGGGCUCAACCUGGGAACUGCAUUCAAAACUGACUGACUAGAGUAUGGUAGAGGGUGGUGGAAUUUCCUGUGUAGCGGUGAAAUGCGUAGAUAUAGGAAGGAA
RNAcentral lists this ribosomal RNA (359 nucleotides) under uncultured bacterium. Its description in RNAcentral is "partial 16S ribosomal RNA". It matches the Rfam family "Bacterial small subunit ribosomal RNA", at positions 355 to 706 of the family's 1533-position model. The record is from RNAcentral.